Molecule: ribosomal RNA, 468 nt
Filed under: uncultured bacterium
Lineage: Bacteria
Description: partial 16S ribosomal RNA
Rfam family: Bacterial small subunit ribosomal RNA
Source: RNAcentral
GACGAACGCUGGCGGCGUGCUUAACACAUGCAAGUCGAACGGAAAGGCCCUGCUUUUGUGGGGUGCUCGAGUGGCGAACGGGUGAGUAACACGUGAGUAACCUGCCCUUGACUUUGGGAUAACUUCAGGAAACUGGGGCUAAUACCGGAUAGGAGCUCCUGCUGCAUGGUGGGGGUUGGAAAGUUUCGGCGGUUGGGGAUGGACUCGCGGCUUAUCAGCUUGUUGGUGGGGUAGUGGCUUACCAAGGCUUUGACGGGUAGCCGGCCUGAGAGGGUGACCGGCCACAUUGGGCCUGGGAUACGGCCCAGACUCCUACGGGGGGCAGCAGUGGGGAAUAUUGCACAAUGGGCGGAAGCCUGAUGCAGCAACGCCGCGUGCGGGAUGACGGCCUUCGGGUUGUAAACCGCUUUCGCCUGUGACGAAGCGUGAGUGACGGUAAUGGGUAAAGAAGCACCGGCUAACUACGUG